This 2630-nucleotide long non-coding RNA is filed under the name Piliocolobus tephrosceles (Ugandan red Colobus). RNAcentral describes it as "lncRNA (ENSPTEG00000001193.1)". The record is from RNAcentral. Lineage: Eukaryota; Metazoa; Chordata; Mammalia; Primates; Cercopithecidae.
NNNNNNNNNNNNNNNNNNNNNNNNNNNNNNNNNNNNNNNNNNNNNNNNNNNNNNNNNNNNNNUAUACAUUUGUUUUUAAAAAAGGAACGAACCAAAAGAUGUCAACUGGAUUCCUUUACGGAGUAGGAGUAAAAUCUUGCAGAAAAGUGUUAAUACAAGAAUUGAAAGAGAAAACAAAAAAUGAUAGACUAAAAUAUAUAAGAGAAAAUAUACAAUACUACUUAAAUAUAUUGCUAAACCUGAAUUUAAAACAUGUAUAUAAUGAUAAUUAUGAAUUAAUAUGUUAUAUUUUGGAAUCUGUCGUAUAUUACGGGUUAGAUGUAGACGUAGCAGUGUUAGAAGAGAUUAUAAUUUGGCUAAACUUGAAAGAUGUUUUAAAAAAGAACAAAAAUGUAUAUAUUAAAUUUAUUAAUAGAAUAUUAUACCUAAUAAAUAAAUUAGUAUAUGUAAAAUUAGAUAGCCAAAAAUUAUUUAAUAUAAUUUUUGAUACUACUAUACUGUUAAUAGAAAUUUUAUAUAAAACCAACAUGUAUAGUACGGUGGAGCAUGUAACAUAUACUUUAGAAACUGAAGCACAAUCUACUCGAAAAACAGAGUUAGUAGUUAAGCCCAAGUUAUCACCCCAAAGUGAGACAAGUGCGAACAAACUACUUGUCCUAAGUAACAACUGUAAACACGAUACCUUUAUGUCAAACGAAAUGAAUACUAGUUUAUGUACAAAUUUAAAUUAUGAAAAAAAAAACAAAAAACAAAAAACAUCAAUGACAUCAGAAAGUACAACAACACAUUCGGUCGAUAUGUCCAAAAAUGAAAGUGACAAUUUUGAUAAAAAAAGAAAAAAUCAAGACGAUAGUAGUUACAAUCCUUUUGUAUGUGAUAACGGAAUCGAAAACAUAAAAAAACAAAUUGUUGAAUAUGUUAUAUAUUUGAAUAACAUUCUUAAUUUAUAUGUUAAAAGUUUUCAAUUGAUGGGGAGUGAUAUAAAAGUGUAUGCUUUUUAUAGUAACAUAUUUAUUUUAUAUUGUUACAUUUGCGAUUAUAAUGAAUAUUUAAAAGAGUUAGUAAUAAAAAAUGUAUUACAUAGUGUAGCAGAAAAAAAUACAAUUGUUGUUCUUAUAAAAAAUAUAUAUGUGUUAAAAAACAUGAUCAAAGAGUUGAUAUAUUGCAACGUAAGCAAAAUAGAUGAAACAUUUUUUAAAAAAAAUUACAACUUAUAUAAAAAUAACAAAACUAAUGUUAAGAUAAAUUAUGUUUCAUUUAAAAAGAAUGAGCAUACAUUAUUAUUAGAAUUAAUUUAUUUAAUUUUAAAUAGAAUAUCAAAUAAGACACCAGUUUUUACGUAUGAAAUAAAGGAAAGAAAAUUAACACACCAGGUCCAAAUAGAUGAAAAAAAAAAAAAAAAAAUUAUUUUUUAUUUUUUAAAUAAUAAUGAAUUAAAUCAAAAAAUGCAUUUUAUAAAUAUAGCGCAAAUAAAAGGUUGCAUAAAAAUUUUAACAGUUAUAUUUAAAUUUUUUUUUUUUAAAUGCAAUACAAUUAAACCCAAACAUGUGAAACAUUUUUUUUCUUUGUUGGUUCUUGUACCCCAUUACGAGUUAACGAUUUAUCACGAAAAUAUAAAACACACUUUUGCAAAAUUGUUUGACCAAAAUCCGUACGUGAAGGGUUCGAAGACAGUCACAGCUGAUUCCUCAACAAAUAUCGUCCCAACAAAUACUGUAGCAACUCGCAAAGACAUAUCGGGACAAACACACAAAAACAAAACAGACAAAAACAAUCGUUCUACCAACAAAGACGAAAACAAACAUUUAAAUGAAGCCAAGUUAAAUAACGACGAUAGUACAUGUGGUGAGUCAAAUAAUGUACUAAUAAAAAAAAUAUAUUACGACAAUUUAAAUAAAGAAAUUAAUGUUUUAAGAUGUGAAUUUCAGGAAGAUUUGAUUAUUAAUAGUAAUAAAGAAGUAUAUUAUAAUAUUCACAUUUUGAUAUAUUACAGUCAAAUGAUUUAUAAAUUUAUGUAUAAUUUAAAUAAAAUGAAAAAUGUAAAAAACGAUAUAUUUCUUGUUGAUAAUAUGUCUUAUUUAUUGAAAUAUAUUUGUGAUAGUAUAACACAUUUUUGUUAUAAAAAUACAUUGGGUGAAAAAAAAAGUAGUAACCGAAAAAUAAAAAAUGAAUAUAAUUUGAAUAAAAACGGUUUAUUCAAUUCGGAAAACAAAGAAGAGAAGCUUGAAAAGAUGUAUAUAAAAGGAAAGCCAUAUAUACGACUAUAUAAAAAUAAAAUGAAUAAAGUUAUUUUUGAUACAUAUAAGACUUCGUUUGAUUUUAGUUGGGAAUAUGAAACAGAGAAUAUAUCUGAUAUAGAAAAAGCAGACGAAAAAAUAGGUAAUAAUACUAUAAUUGAUUAUAAUAAAGAUAAAAAGUUUAAAAAUAAAAAUUGUUUUAAUGGCAUCAUAAUGGUAUGUCCUAACGAAGUAGAUAUAAAUGAAGAGAUCACAAAUAUAAUGCUUAUGAGAACAAAACAUACUAGUAGUGAUUUGAUGAAUAUAUAUUUAAUGUAUUUAUUAUAUAUAAGUCAAUUUAAUUUGUUAAAUGUUUUAAAUUACAAUAUGAGUAUACGAAAGUUUAUAUUGACA